Molecule: ribosomal RNA, 465 nt
Filed under: Vreelandella stevensii
Lineage: Bacteria; Pseudomonadati; Pseudomonadota; Gammaproteobacteria; Oceanospirillales; Halomonadaceae
Description: partial 16S ribosomal RNA
Rfam family: Bacterial small subunit ribosomal RNA
Source: RNAcentral
CCUACGAGCGGCUGCAGUGGGGAAUAUUGGACAAUGGGCGAAAGCCUGAUCCAGCCAUGCCGCGUGUGUGAAGAAGGCCUUCGGGUUGUAAAGCACUUUCAGUGGGGAAGAAAGCCUUGGGGCUAAUACCCUCGAGGAAGGACAUCACCCACAGAAGAAGCACCGGCUAACUCCGUGCCAGCAGCCGCGGUAAUACGGAGGGUGCGAGCGUUAAUCGGAAUUACUGGGCGUAAAGCGCGCGUAGGCGGUCUGAUAAGCCGGUUGUGAAAGCCCCGGGCUCAACCUGGGAACGGCAUCCGGAACUGUCAGGCUAGAGUGCAGGAGAGGAAGGUAGAAUUCCCGGUGUAGCGGUGAAAUGCGUAGAGAUCGGGAGGAAUACCAGUGGCGAAGGCGGCCUUCUGGACUGACACUGACGCUGAGGUGCGAAAGCGUGGGUAGCAAACAGGAUUAGAUACCCGUGUAGUC